GACAGAGGUGCCGAGCGUUAGGCGGGAUCACUGGGCUUAAAGCGUGUGUAGGCGGAUUCCUAAGUACCUUGUGAAAUCCCACGGCUUAACCGGGGAACUGCUUGGUAUACUGGGUGUCUUGAGCCAACUAGAGGCAGUCGGAACAAACGGUGGAGCGGUGAAAUGCGUAGAUAUCGUUUGGAACGCCAAUGGUGAAAACAGACUGCUGGGGUUGUGCUGACGCUGAGACACGAAAGCCAGGGGAGCGAACGGG
Molecule: ribosomal RNA, 253 nt
Filed under: uncultured bacterium
Lineage: Bacteria
Description: partial 16S ribosomal RNA
Rfam family: Bacterial small subunit ribosomal RNA
Source: RNAcentral